This is a long non-coding RNA of Nicotiana tabacum (common tobacco), 1211 nucleotides long. RefSeq lists it as uncharacterized. Lineage: Eukaryota; Viridiplantae; Streptophyta; Magnoliopsida; Solanales; Solanaceae. The record is from RefSeq and is a predicted model, not a curated record.
GCGAGAACCGAGAGGAGCUUCCGGUUCACUAAAUUUCCCCAAAAAAAUCAUAGAAUUUUACUUUACUCCAUUUUGGUCCAUGUUUUCUAUUAGCGCCCCCAGCUUGUACAAAAGCCCAACACCUGUGAAUUCAUAUGGACGAUUGUGCACUUCUCUCUUCUUCUCUCCGUGUUCUCUAUUUUUUGUGUCAUUUUUCGCUCUAGUCGGUUUUCUCAGCUGCUUCUCCUGCCAGGAACAACUGAAGCACGACUUGAAAUUCUGUCUAAUUGUUUCUAACUAGAUUGCACUUGCAUGAAGCUUAUUUGGAAGCUAAAUUGCUUGGAUAAGUUGGUAACGUGUUGCAAUAAGGUUCUCAAAAACAUUUGUCCUGCUGAAUUUUUUUUUUUGUCUAACGAUUAGUUAAGACUUUAAAAAAUUUCAGUUUAGAUGAGAAGGAAAAGCAGAAGAGUCUCAAAAAUCUGCCGUCAUUCUCUUCUUUACCUUUGAAUAAGGAAAGAUAUAUGUGACAAUAAUGUAUGAUCUUUUAUUAUGUUUGGUAUAGAAAAACAAGGAUUUUGGAAGUGAUUCAUUCUUUUGUUAUCCCUGCUGGCAUUUGUUAUUAUUUCUCCUCCAUUGCACUUUGUGAUUUUGGGAUUUGUUUAACUACCUAACUUCUAUGGUGCCGACUGGCGAGUUAUUGUUAGCUCUUUUCUCAGUAUACAUUCCCUUACUUGGACACAUUAGGGAUCAAAUUGUUCGCAGCUUUGAAUAAGGGAAGCAAUAUAGCUCAAGGAAACGGUAAAAAGAUGGUUGUGGUAGAACUCACAUUUUAUGUAGAAGUCCAAAAAAGAACUCAUAUUUGAUGCAAAAGAUCUGCAGCAGUUGUUCUAUUCUGAUCAUGACAUCGUUGUGCUUACACACUACCAUCCAGCAUAGUUAUAGUUGAAUUGCGGAAAAUUAUUAGCAAGAAAAACCUGGACAAAAAGCUUGUGCAGAUAGAGAGAACCUGGACCAAAAGAUUCUGCGAGAGCUCUAGAAUAGAAUUGACAAGUUGAUGCUGUUGUUUUUCCAGUGCGACUUCCCAAGAAUGACUUUUGUCGGACUUCAUAUUGUUGAAGUUUUCCCCGAAUAUAACAAAAUGUAGGAGUUGUGUACAAUAUUUUCUUUCCCUGAAGUAAGUAUCAAUCUGAUGAGAAUAUUUGAGCUAUAACACAGUUUCUCAUUUUAUAGCA